RNAcentral lists this ribosomal RNA (440 nucleotides) under uncultured bacterium. RNAcentral's name for it is "partial 16S ribosomal RNA". It matches the Rfam family "Bacterial small subunit ribosomal RNA", at positions 338 to 795 of the family's 1533-position model. The record is from RNAcentral.
CCUACGGGUGGCUGCAGUGGGGAAUAUUGCACAAUGGGGGAAACCCUGAUGCAGCGACGCCGCGUGAGCGAUGAAGUAUCUCGGUAUGUAAAGCUCUAUCAGCAGGGAAGAAAAUGACGGUACCUGACUAAGAAGCCCCGGCUAACUACGUGCCAGCAGCCGCGGUAAUACGUCGGCGGCAAGCGUUAUCCGGAUUUACUGGGUGUAAAGGGAGCGUAGACGGUACUGCAAGUCAGAUGUGAAAGCCCGGGGCUCAACCCCGGGACUGCAUUUGAAACUGUAAGGCUGGAGUGUCGGAGAGGCAGGCGGAAUUCGUGGUGUAGCGGUGAAAUGCGUAGAUAUCAGGAGGAACACCAGUGGCGAAGGCGGCCUACUGGACGGUGACUGACGUUGAGGCUCGAAAGCGUGGGGAGCAAACAGGAUUAGAUACCCUUGUAGUC